CAGUAGCCACGGGAAUACGGAGGGAGCUAGCGUUGUUCGGAAUUACUGGGCGUAAAGCGCACGUAGGCGGUUAUUCAAGUCAGAGGUGAAAGCCCGGGGCUCAACCCCGGAACUGCCUUUGAAACUAGAUGACUGGAAUCUUGGAGAGGUCAGUGGAAUUCCGAGUGUAGAGGUGAAAUUCGUAGAUAUUCGGAAGAACACCAGUGGCGAAGGCGACUGACUGGACAAGUAUUGACGCUGAGGUGCGAAAGCGUGGGGAGCAAACAGGAUUAGAUACCCCGGUAGUCCCUGUCUCUUAUAC
Molecule: ribosomal RNA, 301 nt
Filed under: uncultured bacterium
Lineage: Bacteria
Description: partial 16S ribosomal RNA
Rfam family: Bacterial small subunit ribosomal RNA
Source: RNAcentral